GAUGAACGCUGGCGGCGUGCUUAAUACAUGCAAGUCGAACGGAAAGGCCCUGCGUUUGUGGGGUGCUCGAUUGGCGAACGGGUGAGUAACACGUGAGUAACCUGUCCUUGUCUUUGGGAUAACUCCAGGGAACUGGGGCUAAUACCGGAUAGGAUCUCCUGCUGCAUGGUGGGGGUUGGAAAGUGUCGGCGGUUGGGGAUGGACUCGCGGCUUAUGCGCUUGUUAGUGGGGUAGUGGCUUACCAAGGCUUUGACGGGUAGCCCGCCUGAGAGGGUUGACGGCCACCAGGGGACUAAGGUACGGAGCAGUAUGCAACGGGAGGCAGCAGGGGGGAACAUGGCAGAGUGGGGGGGCGCGAGAGGUGAAAACCCCGCGAGCGGGAUGACGGCCUUCGAGGUGUAAACCGCUGUCGAAUGUGACGAAGCGUGAGUGACGGUAAUGGGUAAAAAAGCCCCGGCUAACUACGUG
RNAcentral lists this ribosomal RNA (468 nucleotides) under uncultured bacterium. Its description in RNAcentral is "partial 16S ribosomal RNA". It matches the Rfam family "Bacterial small subunit ribosomal RNA", at positions 28 to 507 of the family's 1533-position model. The record is from RNAcentral.